RNAcentral lists this ribosomal RNA (253 nucleotides) under uncultured bacterium. Its description in RNAcentral is "partial 16S ribosomal RNA". It matches the Rfam family "Bacterial small subunit ribosomal RNA", at positions 524 to 776 of the family's 1533-position model. The record is from RNAcentral.
UACGGAGGGUGCAAGCGUUAUCCGGAUUCACUGGGUUUAAAGGGUGCGUAGGUGGGUUGGUAAGUCAGUGGGGAAAUCUCCAGGCUUAACUUGGAAACUGCCAUUGAUACUAUCAAUCUUGAAUACCGUGGAGGUCAGCGGAAUAUGUCAUGUAGCGGUGAAAUGCUUAGAUAUGACAUGGAACACCAAUUGCGAAGGCAGCUGGCUACACGAAUAUUGACACUGAUGCACGAAAGCGUGGGGAUCAAACAGG